RNAcentral lists this ribosomal RNA (279 nucleotides) under uncultured bacterium. Its description in RNAcentral is "partial 16S ribosomal RNA". It matches the Rfam family "Bacterial small subunit ribosomal RNA", at positions 506 to 784 of the family's 1533-position model. The record is from RNAcentral.
UGCCAGCCGCCGCGGUAAUACGGAGGGUGCAAGCGUUGUUCGGAAUUACUGGGCGUAAAGCGCGCGUAGGCGGCUAUUUAAGUCAGAUGUGAAAGUCCACGGCUCAACCGUGGAAGUGCAUUUGAAACUGGAUGGCUUGAGUACUGGAGGGGGUGGUGGAAUUCCCGGUGUAGAGGUGAAAUUCGUAGAUAUCGGGAGGAAUACCGGUGGCGAAGGCGACCACCUGGCCGGUGACUGACGCUGAGACGCGAAAGCGUGGGGAGCAAACAGGAUUAGAUA